This 63-nucleotide transfer RNA is filed under the name Antigona lamellaris. RNAcentral's name for it is "tRNA-Thr". Lineage: Eukaryota; Metazoa; Mollusca; Bivalvia; Venerida; Veneridae. The record is from RNAcentral.
GGAUUAAUAGUUAAUAUAUAAUAAGAGUUUUGUAAACUUUGGUAGGUGGUGUGCCUUAAUCUU